CCUACGGGAGGCAGCAGUGAGGAAUAUUGGUCAAUGGACGAGAGUCUGAACCAGCCAAGCCGCGUGAAGGAUGACUGCCCUAUGGGUUGUAAACUUCUUUUAUAUGGGAAUAAAAUGUUCCACGUGUGGGACUUUGUAUGUACCAUAUGAAUAAGGAUCGGCUAACUCCGUGCCAGCAGCCGCGGUAAUACGGAGGAUCCGAGCGUUAUCCGGAUUUAUUGGGUGUAAAGGGCGUGUAGGUGGAUUGUUAAGUCGGUUGUGAAAGUUUGCGGCUCAACCGUAAAAUUGCAGUUGAAACUGGCAGUCUUGAGUACAGUAGAGGUGGGCGGAAUUCGUGGUGUAGCGGUGAAAUGCUUAGAUAUCACGAAGAACUCCGAUUGCGAAGGCAGCUCACUGGACUGCAACUGACACUGAGGCUCGAAGGUGUGGGUAUCGAACAGGAUUAGAUACCCCUGUAGUC
Molecule: ribosomal RNA, 460 nt
Filed under: uncultured bacterium
Lineage: Bacteria
Description: partial 16S ribosomal RNA
Rfam family: Bacterial small subunit ribosomal RNA
Source: RNAcentral